CCGGCACGGGUGAGUAACACGUAUCCAACCUGCCGUCUACUCUUGGACAGCCUUCUGAAGGAAGAUUAAUACAAGAUGGCAUCAUGAGUCCACAUGUUCACAUGAUUAAAGGUAUUCCGGUAGACGAUGGGGAUGCGUUCCAUUAGAUAGUAGGCGGGGUAACGGCCCACCUAGUCAACGAUGGAUAGGGGUUCUGAGAGGAAGGUCCCCCACAUUGGAACUGAGACACGGUCCAA
RNAcentral lists this ribosomal RNA (236 nucleotides) under uncultured bacterium. RNAcentral describes it as "partial 16S ribosomal RNA". It matches the Rfam family "Bacterial small subunit ribosomal RNA", at positions 100 to 334 of the family's 1533-position model. The record is from RNAcentral.